GACGAACGCUGGCGGCGUGCUUAACACAUGCAAGUCGAACGGUGAAGGGAUCAGCUUGCUGGUUCUGGAUGAGUGGCGAACGGGUGAGUAACACGUGAGUAACCUGCCCCCUUCUUCUGGAUAACCGCAUGAAAGUGUGGCUAAUACGGGAUAUUCUGCGCCUGCUGCAUGGUGGGUGUGGGAAAGAUAUUGUUUCGGUGGGGGAUGGGCUCGCGGCCUAUCAGCUUGUUGGUGGGGUGAUGGCCUACCAAGGCGGUGACGGGUAGCCGGGCUGAGAGGGUGGACGGUCACACUGGGACUGAGACACGGCCCAGACUCCUACGGGAGGCAGCAGUGGGGAAUAUUGCACAAUGGGCGCAAGCCUGAUGCAGCGACGCCGCGUGAGGGAUGGAGGCCUUCGGGUUGUGAACCUCUUUCGCCAGUGAAGCAGGCCUGUCCCUUGUGGGUGGGUUGACGGUAGCUGGAUAAGAAGCGCCGGCUAACUACGUG
This 489-nucleotide ribosomal RNA is filed under the name uncultured bacterium. RNAcentral's name for it is "partial 16S ribosomal RNA". It matches the Rfam family "Bacterial small subunit ribosomal RNA", at positions 28 to 507 of the family's 1533-position model. The record is from RNAcentral.